RNAcentral lists this ribosomal RNA (251 nucleotides) under uncultured prokaryote. RNAcentral describes it as "partial 16S rRNA". It matches the Rfam family "Bacterial small subunit ribosomal RNA", at positions 525 to 775 of the family's 1533-position model. The record is from RNAcentral.
ACAGAGGUGGCGAGCGUUGUUCGGAUUUACUGGGCGUAAAGGGCGCGUAGGCGGCGCGGUGUGUCGGGUGUGAAAUCCAUGGGCUCAACCCAUGAAGUGCGCCCGAAACUGCCGCGCUCGAGUUCGGGAGGGGGGAUCGGAAUGCAGGGUGUAGCGGUGAAAUGCGUUGAUAUCCUGCAGAACACCGGAGGCGAAGGCGGAUCCCUGGAACGACACUGACGCUGAGGCGCGAAAGCAGGGGGAGCAAACAG